GACUGAACUUUGAACAGUUUUUUAUAAGAUGAACUGGUGUUACACAGCGUGUGUCAUUGCUCUGUUGAAAUGAAAGCUGAUGAUGGACUUACAAAAUGUGAUAAUUCUUCUACUGUUGUCUUGCACCACUGUGUUUACAGUACUGCAUGGACAGAAAGUUGUCACUGAUCUUAAGGUUACUGGGUACCAGGGUCAUGAUGUCACACUGUUGUGCCAAUAUAUCAAUGGAAACACAGAAGACAAAAUACUACAAAUGCAGUGAACGUGGCAGAAUGAGUCCAGUUAAUAUGAAAUCAUGGUCUUUAGCACAGACCAUGGCCUUUCUCUGCAUGACACAUUCCUGAAAGACAGAGUCAGCUUCAGAAAGAGCUCACCGCCGAUCUAUGAGGCCUCCAUCAUCAUCAAAGAUGUGAAGAUGAGUGAUCAGGGAGUUUACAGCUGUGCCUACACAACCUUCCCUAGCGGCAGUCAUACAGGACAAACCACUCUUACAGUGUUAGAAGGAUGUCACCUAUUCUGAUGUCACAAUACUGAAACCAGGCAAAGCUAACAGAAGCACCUCGUCAUCGGGGGACAUUGAAUACUCUGCGGUUUCCUUCAGUGGUCGGUCAGGAUCAGCGCCCCUGCGAGCCUCAGACUGCUUUGGGUUUCCACACAGCAGAGCAUGAAACUCUGUAUGCACAGGUGAAAAAAGACUAAUUUUAAGUACAAAUGUCACAUCUACUAAAGGUUUCUAGGUGUUUGAACAGUAGAGACAAUAAAGGGCUGAUCACAACAAGGACGACA
Cyprinus carpio (common carp) is the source of this 786-nucleotide long non-coding RNA. Lineage: Eukaryota; Metazoa; Chordata; Actinopteri; Cypriniformes; Cyprinidae. The record is from Ensembl.